RNAcentral lists this long non-coding RNA (2239 nucleotides) under Homo sapiens (human). RNAcentral's name for it is "non-protein coding lnc-CSNK1A1-6:1". Lineage: Eukaryota; Metazoa; Chordata; Mammalia; Primates; Hominidae. The record is from RNAcentral.
UGCUUUCAGGAUAAUGACCAAAUUCCGUGAUCUGUUCCCUGUUUACCAAGCUAUCCAAAUUUAUCUCUUGGCUUCUAUUCCCAGCCCCAAUUUCCAUCCCACACAGUACGCUCCAGAUACACUCGCAAUUCCCAGGAUUCAUUGUGCCAUCUUGCCUUCAUAUGUUUCUCUGUGCUAGAAAUGCCUUCCACUUUCUCCAAUCUGCCUCUUUGUUCAAAAGCCAAUUCAAACGUCUCUGGGAAGUUUCCCACACCACGAGAAAAGCUGGUCUGUGCCUCCUCUGCGCCUUCACUGCCGCGCUUUCCUAGCCAGAUUUUGCAAUUGUAUUUCUGCAAUUACUCAAACGUGUUUCCUUCUGACCAGACAAAGCUCCCCAAGGCCGGACUUCAUUCAUCUUUACUCCUAAUGCUUGAGGAAGGGCACAUGAGUUGCAGAUGCUUAGUGACUAUUUUUUUUAGUGAUAGACUCAUGGGGGAAGGCAGCUUAGCUAUAGCUAAGACAACCUUGGGGUGUGCAGGUGGGGGCGGUGAGGUGACUUCCAACCAGAAAAGAACUUGUAAAUCUAUAGGCAUAGGUCAUAAACUGAGCGUGUGUUUCACCCAAAGAUGUGUUCAUUUCUCUCCAGGGGGACAUAGCUGGGGGUGAGAGAAGCGUGGAGGACACAAGAUUUUGGCAUUGAAAAAUAGCAAAGAGUCUAAAAAUGUUAUUCCUGGAAGGGACAUUCAAGAUCAUAAAACAUUAGGACAAGACUGCAUCUUUUAAAUGUACAUUUUAAAAUAUGCUUCAACACUCUGCUAUUGAGGACACUGGCUCAGAAAGGCGGAACUGACUGCAUUAAGGCCAUAAAACAAUUUAGUGGUUUCUUCACCCUUUUUUUUCCCUAAGAGACAGGGUCUCACUUUGUUGCCCAGGCUGGAGUGCAGUAGCAUAAUCACAGCUCACUGCAGCCUUGACAUCCUGGGCUCAAGUUAAUCUUCCCACCUCAGCCUCCCAAGUAGCUGGGACUACAGGUGUGCACCCCCAUGCCUGGCUGGUUUUUAAAAUUUUUAUUAUUUUUUUUUUAAUGUAGAGACAGAGGUCUCCCUAUGUUGCCCUGCCUGAUCUCAAACACCUGGGCUCAGCCAUCUUCCCCUGCCUCGGCCUCCCAAUAUGCUGGGAUUUCAGGUGUCGGCCGCUGUGCCAUUUCACUUUCCCCACAGUAUUAAGUCAUAGAUGCCAUUCAUUUCCAUGCUAUACUGUCUUUUAAUGAUUGCCAUAUAGUAUUUCUUUGUAACAGAAAUAGGCACUUGAAUUCCAAUUUUAAUUUUUAAUUUCUCGUGACCAUAAACUCUGAAGUGUUACUUCUUCUGGCUAGAAUUACCAUUAGAGUUAUUAGACCUAACUGAUUGAAACCACAUAAGUACAAUACAAAUUUGAUAACAGUUUGCAUAUGGAGAGUUACAUUUUAUUUAUUGAGAUGGAUUUUUAAAAUGUAUGUUCAUGUUUACAUUGAUAAAUAUUAUUGAUUCCUAGAUUGGAACAGGAGUCACUAUCAACACUAUCCUUAUUUUUUUAUUUUAAUCCAUAUAUGAGUUUAGAAGCCUUUUUCACAAAAUUAUGUGGAACUGGAAAGAGUUUUAUUAUUACAGUGUCACUCAAUUCUUUGGAUUCUUUCCAAGAUGCUUGGCAAAAAUCACUUGGAGCUCUUUUAUUGAAAAUCAGUGAACAGCUCCAUCAGUUCCUCCUUCAGCGUUGUAUCAUGGCAACGCCUUUUCUCUAAGUCUGUUCCCCUGAAGGAGCUUUGCUGUGAUUUGAAUGUGUCCCCCAAAGCUCAUAUGUUGGAAACUUAAUAUCCAGUGCAACUGUUUUGAGAGGUGGGACCUAGCCAGGCAUCGUGGCUCACAUCUGUAAUCCCAGAACUUUGGGAAGUUGAGGUGGGAGGGUCACUUGAGCCCAGGAGUUUAAGACUAGACUGGGUAACAACAUAGUGAGACCCUGUCUCUAGAAACAAAAACAAAAAACUAAAUUAACUGAGCAUGGUAGCACAUGCCUGUAGUCUCAGCUAUUCUUUAGGCUGAGGUGGGAGAGUUGCUUCAGCCGGUGUGGGUGAGGCCAUAGUGAGCUGUGAUUGUGCCACUACACACCAACCUGGGUGACAGAGUGAGACCCUGUCUUAAAAAAAAAAAAGAGAGAGGUGGGAUCUUUAAGGGGUAAUUAGGUCAUGAGGACUCUUCCCUCACGAAUGGAUUAAUUCCAUUAU